UACGUAGGGUGCGAGCGUUAAUCGGAAUUACUGGGCGUAAAGCGUGCGCAGGCGGUUCGUUAAGUUCGUUGUGAAAGCCCCGGGCUCAACCUGGGAACUGCAAUGGAAACUGGCGGGCUUGAGUGUGGCAGAGGGGGGUGGAAUUCCGCGUGUAGCAGUGAAAUGCGCAGAUAUCGGGAGGAACACCUAUGGCGAAGGCAGCUCGCUGGGACGUUACUGACGCUGAGACGCGAAAGCGUGGGGAGCAAACAGG
Molecule: ribosomal RNA, 253 nt
Filed under: uncultured bacterium
Lineage: Bacteria
Description: partial 16S ribosomal RNA
Rfam family: Bacterial small subunit ribosomal RNA
Source: RNAcentral